GUUAGAUAAAAUAUUAGCCUAUUUUGAGCUUUUUUUGUUUCGUGUGCAAACCCCAAAUUCAAAUCCCAAACGUCGAAUACAAGCUCACUGGGAGCACUCGCUUGAUAUCAACGGACGGGUAUCAAAUUUCCCUGCAUCGUCCACUGAACGGAACGCAGCUGUUUCCGCCUCCAUCACAACCUCAGAUCGGAUUGCGGAGUGAAAAAGUGAACAGCAGCCCGCGAGACUGUUUUUUUGUGUCGUCCGCCGAGAAGUGUGUUGGUGGCCUCGCUCCGAAAAAUCCAGAGUGAUACGGUCGGAAGACGAGACGCCCAAGAAGAUCUACGCAACACCGUCACCGCCGUAGAAAAUCCGUCACUUCUAGAAAUUCACGACCGUUAGAGGAGUAAGGCUAUUGCAUCGGGUCCAUCGGGUUUAUUCCGCUGGGCAAUAAACCGACGAAACGACAGGUAAAUAAAGCCCGAUUUCCGAGCAGCGGCGGCGGCAUCCAGCUGACACGUCACGACCCAGGCACGUGGGGAAACAUCCAAGCAGAAACCGAAGCAGCUCUUGGUUGACUGACAAAUUGAACGGCCAUUUCGAGCGUCAGUAUUCCUUGUUUGAGUGGACAGACACAGUUCCGAGUUUGCACAGAAUCAUCCCCAAUUGUGCGGAAAUUGGCACGAUACAGUACCAUCUCCAAUUGUGCGGUGCCCGUCUCAACCGUUCAGCGACCAGAGCAGCGUUUCCAUCAGUCGAUUCUCCACAGUACAACUCCCAUAGCGUGGCGAUUGAUAGGACGAGUGAGCACAGGAGUAAACUUGACGGUGAGUCUUUUGAUUCGUAUAUGUGAUGCGUGAACUAACGUAAAGACUCCUCACAGAUCAGGGAAACAUCCCUCAGACCUUAGACGAAUCAAGAACGGAUUGUCGGUUACCCGCGAAAGUGCAGCUCAACAGAAAAGCCUUCCAAGAGAAGUGAGUACCGAAACUGCGCUCAGUCGUGGCCUCAUUGCUAAUAUUGGAUGUUCGGCCAGGACUUUUCAUUCCAGACUAGCAGUUCGAGACGGCCAUUCAGGCCGGUCCAAGUACCGACUGGUGCGGCAUCGGACGAGGCAAAAGGACACACGAUCUCGGUUACGGACAGGAGGAGAGCACCUCUGGACACGCUCCAGGUGGCCAAAUCCAGCGGCAAAGGAGGUCCGUGGAUAAUCGCGGCGACCGAUUCCAGAUUCCACACGCUGUCCCCGGCUCGGCGGCACGGAUUUGCACGCAGUGGCCCGACGAACGGCGGUCGUGCUAAAGCAUGCCAGGAAAGCGGUCCCGGUAAAAUAAUGGGUGCACCCGAGAAGAUCGUGAGUACUAAAGUACGAAAAAAAAUUGGAAAUGGAAGGAUAGAGAAAGGUUAAGCAGGAGUUAGGGAUUCGAGGCAGGAAAGAUCAGCUAUCACCAAUGUGAAUAAAGGAUUGCACACUAUGAUUUUGGUAAUUUGUGGCGUUAAUUUGUUACUAGCCGGUCCGAUCAAUGCCCCUUUUCAUUAGCAAAGAUCGUUUCACA
This is an RNA transcript of Aedes albopictus (Asian tiger mosquito), 1535 nucleotides long. RefSeq lists it as uncharacterized. The transcript is spliced from 3 exons. The record is from RefSeq and is a predicted model, not a curated record. Lineage: Eukaryota; Metazoa; Arthropoda; Insecta; Diptera; Culicidae.